Non-coding RNA from Violaceomyces palustris, 88 nucleotides. The record is from the annotation of a GenBank genome assembly. Lineage: Eukaryota; Fungi; Basidiomycota; Ustilaginomycetes; Violaceomycetales; Violaceomycetaceae.
GCACUGAUAGUUCAGUGGUAGAAUACCUGCCUUCCAUUCGAUCGAAUCGUGAAAGCAUGUGGCACGGGUUCGAUUCCCGUUCAGUGCA